This 616-nucleotide long non-coding RNA is filed under the name Coffea arabica (coffee). Its description in RNAcentral is "long non-coding RNA (CARA_LNC000758)". The record is from RNAcentral. Lineage: Eukaryota; Viridiplantae; Streptophyta; Magnoliopsida; Gentianales; Rubiaceae.
UAAUGAAAGUAGAAAGAAUCCUCAAGUAUCUUACGUUUUCUGUAUGAAUUUUGAUUUAUUAAAUGUUGGGCAUGGCCGAUGAUGCAUGUUUAUCAAUAUAUCGUUUAUACAUCAGUAUACAAUAAUGCCUUCUGCUUAGCUUAUAGCUGGAGUGCGGUCUAAAUAUGUGAACAAACGUUCUUGCAGCAUCAUCCCGGAGGAUGGGAGAAGGAAGGCUUAUGCAGAAGCCCUUGCAAAAGCCAGGAAAGAGGAAGAGGCUACAAGAGCAACAGAGAAAUCUCGUCUAGCUGCGGAAGCAGCAAAGAUGCGCAAAGAAGAGUUAAAGAAACUUGCAAAGCAGGAAGCUGAGGCGGCCAGUUUUGCAGAACAAGCCCAAGAGAAGGCGGCUGCUGCAGGAGUUUCAGUUGAGAGCCUCUUAAGUAAAGCCCAAGGCAUAAGCUCAGGACUAUCUUGGGAAAACCUGAGCUCACAGCUGAAAUCAGCUGUUCAGCAACCUGCGGAAGCAGCAAAGAUGCGCAAAGAAGAGUUAAAGAAACUUGCAAAGCAGGAAGCUGAGGCUGCCAGUUUUGCAGAACAAGCCCAAGAGAAGGCGGCUGCUUCAGGAGUUUCAGUUGAG